This is a long non-coding RNA of Capra hircus (goat), 500 nucleotides long. RefSeq lists it as uncharacterized. The record is from RefSeq and is a predicted model, not a curated record. NCBI's taxonomy places the organism in Eukaryota, Metazoa, Chordata, Mammalia, Artiodactyla, Bovidae. The transcript is spliced from 2 exons.
AUAAGGAACCGGCCUGAGCCUGCUCCCCCUGUAGCCGGUGCAAGAACUCCAGUGAGGCGUCACCAGAGUUUCCUGUCUGUCCGCUUCCAUUGAUCGGGGAAGGCCAAGAACCCGGCCAGCUGAUGGCACCCAACCUGGGGCAGACCCCUUCCGGAGCGAGGACCUGGGCACGUCCGAGACUACGGAGUGCCACUUUACCGUGGCUGAGGAAUGCCUACCUGAACCUCGUGUUCCACCAUCACCGCAUGCUGACCUCUAUGCUGCUCUACGGGUUAAGAAAGCGUCUUGCAAUGCGCAGGACCAGAGUUCGACUCCUGGUGAAGGAGCUAAGACUGGACACGCCACGCCAAGACUAAGCCUGCGCUGCAACUACUGAGCCCAAGGACAACUAGAGAGUCCGCAACAAAGGAUCCCACACCAUGCGGUGACGAUCCCCUGUACUGCCAGUAAAACCUGCUGCAGCCAAAUAUACAAAUAAAUAUUUUAAAAAGCAAAAAAAA